UACGAAGGGGGCGAGCGUUGUUCGGAUUUACUGGGCGUAAAGGGCGCGCAGGCGGCUAUCCAAGUCAGGCGUGAAAGCCCGGGGCUCAACCCCGGGUCGGCCGUGCGAACUGUCGAGCUGGAGCACUGUAGAGGCAGGUGGAAUUCCGGGUGUAGCGGUGAAAUGCGUAGAUAUCUGGAGGAACACCAAUUGCGAAGGCAGCUUACUACCCGAAUAUUGACACUGAGGCACGAAAGCGUGGGGAUCAAACAGG
Molecule: ribosomal RNA, 253 nt
Filed under: uncultured bacterium
Lineage: Bacteria
Description: partial 16S ribosomal RNA
Rfam family: Bacterial small subunit ribosomal RNA
Source: RNAcentral